Molecule: long non-coding RNA, 1449 nt
Filed under: Ananas comosus (pineapple)
Lineage: Eukaryota; Viridiplantae; Streptophyta; Magnoliopsida; Poales; Bromeliaceae
Description: long non-coding RNA (ACOM_LNC039766)
Source: RNAcentral
AGUUUCAAAGAUUAAAAUAUUCAAAGAAGCAAGAUAACAUGAAUAAAGUUUUAAAUAAUAAACGGAGGAUCUAAUGUUCGAAAAGAGGGUUUUCAGAUGUUGAAAUAUCAAUAGGCAAUUUACAAUCAGAUAGGAUCGGAAUUAGAAACAAAAACAAAGUUCGCCCUCUCUUAGGCAUUUUAUCGAACAUGUAAGGAGCGUUACAAGAAGCAUGCAGAAUAUGGAGGAUUUAUAUAACUAAAUCAGAUAGGAAUACAAGAUAAAAUGAUAGAUCGAAUAACACAUAUUUAGAUCAAAGCAAAUCAUAUUUUGAUAGUUUGAAAUUUCGAUCAUCAUGAGGCGAGUAUUCAAAAUAAUAAUAUAACGAUAAACAAGAAGGUUGGAUGAUCACAAGGUUCGAUAUAGAGGUAAAAUGAGGAAAAGAGAAAAACCUUUUCGAAAACGGUGAAGACGACGGCAAGAUUCCGUCGAUAGCGAACCAAAAAGAAAUAACGGCCAAUGAUGAUCGCGGCGGAGGCGGCUAUGGAUGACGGCGAUGAUCGGAUGGCGUCGCGCGCACACCCGCGGAACGGCAGAUCUCGUAUGAAUGCGGUGAGGAGGAGAGAGAGAGAGAGAGAGAGAGAGUCGUGCGGGAAAGGAGAAAAAGAGGUUUUGAUCGGAUGGGAGUUAGGGAAAAAAAUAAUUAAUUAAGUUAGGUAACAAAAUGCUGCCGAGUCCCUCGAAAAUCGAAAAUUAUGAAAAGGUCCAACUUAAAAAGAUAUGAGUCAAAACAAAAGGUUUAAAAGUAUGGGGUGUUACAAGAUCAAUGCACUUUCUUACUUUUAGUUUUCCAAUCACCUUCUAACUUGUCCAAAAACUUGUGCAAGCCCUUUAGAAUAUGUAGGAUAGUUCCACAUUGCAUUCCACACACUCGAACUCUGUAAUUUGCAAAAGUUCAGUGUAUUACAGUUAUGUAGUGGAGGAGUUGGGAUUGGUUGGAUCUGGAGAUGAAAUUGGGGAUGUAGAUGAGUGUGGGGAGAGAUCCCACCGAAUAAUUGGGGAUGUAGAUGAGUGUGGUGACGGCUUGAACCUGCAGCUCGCCUGCAGCGAAGCCCCUCGCGGGGGUGCUGAAGCCGCAGGCGGCGGAGGCGCGGGGCUUGCUCCCGAUGAAGACCAGUUGGCGGAGGUGCGGGGUUUGCUGGAGCUGCAGGUAGCGGAGGCGGAGGGAACGAAAAGCUAGGGUAACUGAGAGAGAAAAGUGAGAUGGGUCAGAGGUAAGGUAAAGAAUUUUUGCAGCUAUAAUUUAAUUAAGUUAUUUUUAAAUGUAAAUAGACAAUAAAGCCCCCACUAUUUAUGCAAUAUAUAUAGAGUAAGUAAGGGUAAAUUGGUCUUUAUGAAUAGAUUGUUGGUGAGUGCUGAAAAAAAAGGAGGAAAGAUGUGGCGCGCUAAAUAAGGAGAUAUCGUGGCGAC